CUGCUGCAGUUCAGCUCUCAUCCUAGAGCCUUGAAGCCCACCCCACGCUGGGCCUUUCUCCAUCUCUGCCAGUGGACUCUUCUGCAGCUCGGAAAGUCAGCAUGUGCGUCGUGGCUCCAGCUCUGCAUCCGUUCAGCUCUCAUCCUAGAGCCUCCAAGCCCACCCCACGCUGGGCCUUUCUCCAUCUCUGCCAGUGGACUCUUCUGCAGCUCGGAAAGUCAGCAUGUGCGUCGUGGCUCCAGCUCUGCUGCAGUUCAGCUCUCAUCCUAGAGCCUUGAAGCCCACCCCACGCUGGGCCUUUCUCCAUCUCUGCCAGUGGACUCUUCUGCAGCUCGGAAAGUCAGCAUGUGCGUCGUGGCUCCAGCUCUGCAUCCGUUCAGCUCUCAUCCUAGAGCCUUGAAGCCCACCCCACGCUGGGCCUUUCUCCAUCUCUGCCAGUGGACUCUUCUGCAGCUCGGAAAGUCAGCAUGUGCGUCGUGGCUCCAGCUCUGCAUCCGUUCAGCUCUCAUCCUAGAGCCUCCAAGCCCACCCCACGCUGGGCCUUUCUCCAUCUCUGCCAGUGGACUCUUCUGCAGCUCGGAAAGUCAGCAUGUGCGUCGUGGCUCCAGCUCUGCAGCCGUUCAGCUCUCAUCCUAGAGCCUCCAAGCCCACCCCACGCUGGGCCUUUCUCCAUCUCUGCCAGUGGACUCUUCUGCAGCUCGGAAAGUCAGCAUGUGCGUCGUGGCUCCAGCUCUGCAUCCGUUCAGCUCUCAUCCUAGAGCCUUGAAGCCCACCCCACGCUGGGCCUUUCUCCAUCUCUGCCAGUGGACUCUUCUGCAGCUCGGAAAGUCAGCAUGUGCGUCGUGGCUCCAGCUCUGCUGCAGUUCAGCUCUCAUCCUAGAGCCUUGAAGCCCACCCCACGCUGGGCCUUUCUCCAUCUCUGCCAGUGGACUCUUCUGCAGCUCGGAAAGUCAGCAUGUGCGUCGUGGCUCCAGCUCUGCAUCUGUUCAGCUCUCAUCCUAGAGCCUUGAAGCCCACCCCACGCUGGGCCUUUCUCCAUCUCUGCCAGUGGACUCUUCUGCAGCUCGGAAAGUCAGCAUGUGCGUCGUGGCUCCAGCUCUGCAGCCGUUCAGCUCUCAUCCUAGAGCCUCCAAGCCCACCCCACGCUGGGCCUUUCUCCAUCUCUGCCAGUGGACUCUUCUGCAGCUCGGAAAGUCAGCAUGUGCGUCGUGGCUCCAGCUCUGCAUCCGUUCAGCUCUCAUCCUAGAGCCUCCAAGCCCACCCCACGCUGGGCCUUUCUCCAUCUCUGCCAGUGGACUCUUCUGCAGCUCGGAAAGUCAGCAUGUGCGUCGUGGCUCCAGCUCUGCAUCCGUUCAGCUCUCAUCCUAGAGCCUUGAAGCCCACCCCACGCUGGGCCUUUCUCCAUCUCUGCCAGUGGACUCUUCUGCAGCUCGGAAAGUCAGCAUGUGCGUCGUGGCUCCAGCUCUGCAU
Molecule: long non-coding RNA, 1470 nt
Organism: Catharus ustulatus (Swainson's thrush)
Lineage: Eukaryota; Metazoa; Chordata; Aves; Passeriformes; Turdidae
Exons: 13
Source: RefSeq, a predicted model, not a curated record